GAGGGUAGAGCUCAGUGGUAGAGCACAUGCUUAGCAAACACAAGGUCUUGGGUUCAAUCCCCAGUACCUCCA
Molecule: transfer RNA, 72 nt
Filed under: Camelus bactrianus (Bactrian camel)
Lineage: Eukaryota; Metazoa; Chordata; Mammalia; Artiodactyla; Camelidae
Also listed under: 2 other names
Rfam family: tRNA
About the family: Transfer RNA (tRNA) molecules are approximately 80 nucleotides in length. Their secondary structure includes four short double-helical elements and three loops (D, anti-codon, and T loops).
Source: Rfam by way of RNAcentral